UUGCAGGUCCAUAGGUUCAGUCCUU
This 25-nucleotide unclassified non-coding RNA is filed under the name Mus musculus (house mouse). RNAcentral describes it as "oocyte_clustered_small_RNA12737". The record is from RNAcentral. Lineage: Eukaryota; Metazoa; Chordata; Mammalia; Rodentia; Muridae.